This 1712-nucleotide small RNA is filed under the name Arabidopsis thaliana (thale cress). RNAcentral describes it as "ATSL077320". The record is from RNAcentral. Lineage: Eukaryota; Viridiplantae; Streptophyta; Magnoliopsida; Brassicales; Brassicaceae.
UAUGCAAUGCUCUAUAUGCCAUACACUACUCGGAUCCGUGGAGAGAAUUCAGAGAGGGGAAGAUCGCGCAUCAGUCCGGCCGAUUCUCGGCAGGUCAGUUAAGACCCGCCGGUCCUCCGCCGAGCCGCGUCCCCGCCUCAGCCGAUCCCUACCCGGACUGAGUCUUGUGUAGGAUGCACAUGACCCGGAUUCUACUCAGCCCUCUAGUCGGUCCUUUCAAGGAUCCGACUUCUAACUCACAUCCUAGAACCCUUAGACUCAAAGUCUAGGAUCCCUUACCUUCCUUCUCGAGGUUAGGUCGAUCCGACCCUCCUUCUUUAUUGCCGGCCACAGCCCGGCUACCGAAUCCUAAGACUAUUUAUUCUCCCAAGAGGGAGAGAGUUUUAAUGGUGAGUUUCUUGUGUUUUCGGUGUGUUGUGGUGGGUGGAAUGGUCCUGGGCGCCCUUCCUUAUAUAGGGGGCGAAUGGAUGCUUCCCGAAUCAACACAUCCGUUCCUUGCACCUUUCCGAAGAGUUGCACCUUUCCGAAGAGUUGCGCCCUUCCGAAGAGUUGCACCUUUCCGAAGAGUUGUAUCUCUUCGCCCAUAACCGCCCAGUUCGUCCGUCACUCGUCCAGCUACCUCGAGCUCGUCCGUCACUUGUCCAGCUACCUCGAGCUCAUCCGUCACUCGUCCAGCUGCCCGAGCUGGACUGUCACUCGACCUGAGUAACUGUCACUCCUUCCAGCUGAGCUUGAGCUUUGGGCGAGCUGACCCAAGUGAUUUCCUUACGAUCCUAGCUUAGCCUGCAUGAUUUCCCCUUUGUCCGAGCUUAUAGCCAGCUCUUUCUCACUUGUCCGAGACUCCACCUUCUUCUCCCGGACCAAGUCCUAGCCAACGAUCCUAUUGAGGAUCGCGGGCGUUACAGUUUUGCCCAAGAACAAUGAAGAAAACUAGGGUUUUUAGUAUUAAAUUUCGGAUCCUUAGAAUAGAGGACAAACCCCUCUAUUUAUACACUAUUAAGACGGUUAAAAGAGUUGUUAAACUUUUAUUUCUUCGAGGAUUGAAUCUUCUAAUUUCCUUUAUCUCCAAAGACUUCCUAUUUUCAAAGGAGAAAACUUCUUUUUCUUCGAAUUAGGAAGUCGGCUAGACGGUCUCCCUACUUCGGGCUAAAGUCGGCAAAUGACCUCCUUAUUUUGGCCCAUUAACAGGCUAAACCGGGAUACCCCGGUUUGAUUGAAAUCUCAGUCUAAUUCGUAGUUCCUCUGGUUUAAGCCGGUAUUGUCGGAGGUGCUAAUUCCGGCACCAACAAUUAGUCCCCCCCCCCAGUUCGGGAAAAUCCAAAUGCUAAACUCGAGUUUUUCCGAAUUAAAAGAAGUGAAUAUUCGGCUUAUACUUUAGGAAGAUGCGAAUUAAAAAUUGAUCCGUUGAACCUCCAAGAUACGUCAGUUUAGCUUGGCACGCGUCGACGAUAUAAAACAAGGCUAAGCUUGUGGGUUAGGUAGUCUGAUGGACCUCAUGAGUUGUUGAGGAGCUGUGGGAUGCUCUCCUAGAUGAUCUGAAUGCCUAGCAGAGAAAUGACCUGACUGAUGAGCCGAGCAGUGAGAUAGGUUACCAAAUGAUCUUGCUAACAAGCUGCAAGGCAAGCUAUCAGAUGAUCUGACGAGCGAUCUGGGAUAUAGGUUGCUAGAUGGUUUGUCUUGCGAUCUGCGAGAUAGCCGGGCAGAUGAGCUAA